GAUUCCGUAGUGUAGUGGUUAUCACGUGAGUCUAACACACUCAAGGUCCCCGGUUCGAGCCCGGGCGGAAUCA
This 73-nucleotide transfer RNA is filed under the name Lytechinus pictus (painted urchin). Its description in RNAcentral is "transfer RNA valine (anticodon AAC)". It matches the Rfam family "tRNA". From Rfam's summary of the family: Transfer RNA (tRNA) molecules are approximately 80 nucleotides in length. Their secondary structure includes four short double-helical elements and three loops (D, anti-codon, and T loops). Further hydrogen bonds mediate the characteristic L-shaped molecular structure. tRNAs have two regions of fundamental functional importance: the anti-codon, which is responsible for specific mRNA codon recognition, and the 3' end, to which the tRNAs corresponding amino acid is attached (by aminoacyl-tRNA synthetases). tRNAs cope with the degeneracy of the genetic code in two manners: having more than one tRNA (with a specific anti-codon) for a particular amino acid; and 'wobble' base-pairing, i.e. permitting non-standard base-pairing at the 3rd anti-codon position. The record is from RNAcentral. Lineage: Eukaryota; Metazoa; Echinodermata; Echinoidea; Temnopleuroida; Toxopneustidae. RNAcentral also lists the same sequence under 1 other name.